This 553-nucleotide ribosomal RNA is filed under the name uncultured fungus. RNAcentral describes it as "eukaryotic LSU rRNA". The stretch from base 185 to 338 matches the Rfam family "5.8S ribosomal RNA". The record is from RNAcentral. Lineage: Eukaryota; Fungi.
AUUAAAGAGAUAGGGUCUUCAUGGCCCGACCUCCACCCUCUGUUGUUAAAACUACCUUGUUGCUUUGGCGGGACCGUCUCGGUCUCCGAGCGCACUAACCCUCGGGUUGGUGAGCGCCCGCCAGAGUCCAACCAAACUCUUGUAUUAAACCAGUCGUCUGAGUAUAAAAUUUUAAUUAAAUUAAAACUUUCAACAACGGAUCUCUUGGUUCUCGCAUCGAUGAAGAACGCAGCGAAAUGCGAUAAGUAAUGUGAAUUGCAGAAUUCAGUGAAUCAUCGAAUCUUUGAACGCACAUUGCGCCCCUUGGUAUUCCGAGGGGCAUGCCUGUUCGAGCGUCAUUACACCACUCAAGCAUCGCUUGGUAUUGGGAACGGUCCGUCGAAAGGCGGGCCUUCCUCGAAGACCUCGGCGGGGUUCAACCAACUUCGGGCGUAGUAGAGUUAAAUCGAACGUCUUAUAAGCUUGGUCGGAUCUCAUUGCCGUUAAACCUUUAAAUUUUCUAGGUUGACCUCGGAUCAGGUAGGGAUACCCGCUGAACUUAAGCAUAUCAAUA